This 468-nucleotide ribosomal RNA is filed under the name uncultured bacterium. RNAcentral's name for it is "partial 16S ribosomal RNA". It matches the Rfam family "Bacterial small subunit ribosomal RNA", at positions 28 to 507 of the family's 1533-position model. The record is from RNAcentral.
GACGAACGCUGGCGGCGUGCUUAACACAUGCAAGUCGAACGGAAAGGCCCUGCUUUUGUGGGGUGCUCGAGUGGCGCACGGGGGAGAAUCACGCGAGUAACCUGCCCCUGACUUUGGGAUAACUUCAGGGAACUCGGGUGAAUAUAGGACAGGAGCUCCUGAUGCAUGGUGUGGGUUGGUGAGUUUCGGCGGUUGGGGAUGGACUCGCGGCUUAUCAGCUUGUUGGUGGGGUGGUGGCUUACCAAGGCGUUGAUGGGUAGCCGGCCUGAGAGGGUGACAGGCCACAUUGGGACUGAGAUACGGCCCAGACUCCUACGGGAGGCAGAAGUGGGGAAUAUUGCACAAUGGGCGGAAGGCUGAUGCAGCAACGCCGCGUGCGGGAUGACGGCCUGCGGGUUGUAAACCGCUUGCGCCUGGGACGAAGCGUGAGUGACGGUAAUGGGUAAAGAAGCACCGGCUAACUACGUG